UACGGAGGGGGCGAGCGUUAUUCGGAAUUAUUGGGCGUAAAGGGCGCGUAGGCGGCCGGAUAAGUCAAAGGUGAAAUCCCUCGGCUCAACUGAGGAACUGCCUUUGAAACUGUUUGGCUCGAGUCCGGGAGGGGGUAGCGGAAUUCCCAGUGUAGCGGUGAAAUGCGUAGAUAUCCGGAGGAACACCGGUGGCGAAGGCGGCUUCCUGGACCGAUCACUGACGCUGAGGCGCGAAAGCUAGGGGAGCAAACGGG
RNAcentral lists this ribosomal RNA (254 nucleotides) under uncultured bacterium. RNAcentral's name for it is "partial 16S ribosomal RNA". It matches the Rfam family "Bacterial small subunit ribosomal RNA", at positions 524 to 776 of the family's 1533-position model. The record is from RNAcentral.